RNAcentral lists this ribosomal RNA (1871 nucleotides) under Vibrio cholerae. Its description in RNAcentral is "partial 23S ribosomal RNA". It matches the Rfam family "Bacterial large subunit ribosomal RNA", at positions 959 to 2818 of the family's 2925-position model. Lineage: Bacteria; Pseudomonadati; Pseudomonadota; Gammaproteobacteria; Vibrionales; Vibrionaceae. The record is from RNAcentral.
AAUACCAGUAAGUACUAUCCGGGAGACACACGGCGGGUGCUAACGUCCGUCGUGGAGAGGGAAACAACCCAGACCGCCAGCUAAGGUCCCAAAGUAUUGCUAAGUGGGAAACGAUGUGGGAAGGCUCAGACAGCUAGGAUGUUGGCUUAGAAGCAGCCAUCAUUUAAAGAAAGCGUAAUAGCUCACUAGUCGAGUCGGCCUGCGCGGAAGAUGUAACGGGGCUAAGCAAUACACCGAAGCUGCGGCAAUAUCUUUUAGAUAUUGGGUAGGGGAGCGUUCUGUAAGCCGUUGAAGGUGAAUCGUAAGGUUUGCUGGAGGUAUCAGAAGUGCGAAUGCUGACAUGAGUAACGACAAAGGGGGUGAAAAACCUCCUCGCCGGAAGACCAAGGGUUCCUGUCCAACGUUAAUCGGGGCAGGGUGAGUCGACCCCUAAGGUGAGGCCGAAAGGCGUAAUCGAUGGGAAACGGGUUAAUAUUCCCGUACUUCUGACUAUUGCGAUGGGGGGACGGAGAAGGCUAGGUGGGCCAGGCGACGGUUGUCCUGGUUCAAGUGCGUAGGCUUGAGAGUUAGGUAAAUCCGGCUCUCUCUAAGGCUGAGACACGACGUCGAGCUGCUACGGCAGUGAAGUCAUUGAUGCCAUGCUUCCAGGAAAAGCCUCUAAGCUUCAGAUAGUCAGGAAUCGUACCCCAAACCGACACAGGUGGUCGGGUAGAGAAUACCAAGGCGCUUGAGAGAACUCGGGUGAAGGAACUAGGCAAAAUGGUACCGUAACUUCGGGAGAAGGUACGCUCUUGAUGGUGAAGUCCCUCGCGGAUGGAGCUGACGAGAGUCGCAGAUACCAGGUGGCUGCAACUGUUUAUUAAAAACACAGCACUGUGCAAAAUCGCAAGAUGACGUAUACGGUGUGACGCCUGCCCGGUGCCGGAAGGUUAAUUGAUGGGGUUAGCGCAAGCGAAGCUCUUGAUCGAAGCCCCGGUAAACGGCGGCCGUAACUAUAACGGUCCUAAGGUAGCGAAAUUCCUUGUCGGGUAAGUUCCGACCUGCACGAAUGGCGUAAUGAUGGCCACGCUGUCUCCACCCGAGACUCAGUGAAAUUGAAAUCGCUGUGAAGAUGCAGUGUACCCGCGGCUAGACGGAAAGACCCCGUGAACCUUUACUACAGCUUGGCACUGAACAUUGAACCUACAUGUGUAGGAUAGGUGGGAGGCUAUGAAGACGUGACGCCAGUUGCGUUGGAGCCGUCCUUGAAAUACCACCCUUGUAUGUUUGAUGUUCUAACUUAGACCCAUUAUCUGGGUUGAGGACAGUGCCUGGUGGGUAGUUUGACUGGGGCGGUCUCCUCCCAAAGAGUAACGGAGGAGCACGAAGGUGGGCUAAUCACGGUUGGACAUCGUGAGGUUAGUGCAAUGGCAUAAGCCCGCUUAACUGCGAGAAUGACGGUUCGAGCAGGUGCGAAAGCAGGUCAUAGUGAUCCGGUGGUUCUGUAUGGAAGGGCCAUCGCUCAACGGAUAAAAGGUACUCCGGGGAUAACAGGCUGAUACCGCCCAAGAGUUCAUAUCGACGGCGGUGUUUGGCACCUCGAUGUCGGCUCAUCACAUCCUGGGGCUGAAGUCGGUCCCAAGGGUAUGGCUGUUCGCCAUUUAAAGUGGUACGCGAGCUGGGUUUAGAACGUCGUGAGACAGUUCGGUCCCUAUCUGCCGUGGGCGUUGGAAGAUUGAAGGGGGCUGCUCCUAGUACGAGAGGACCGGAGUGGACGAACCUCUGGUGUUCGGGUUGUGUCGCCAGACGCAUUGCCCGGUAGCUAAGUUCGGAAUUGAUAAGCGCUGAAAGCAUCUAAGCGCGAAGCGAGCCCUGAGAUGAGUCUUCCCUGA